CACGAAGGGGGCUAGCGUUGUUCGGAAUUACUGGGCGUAAAGCGCACGUAGGCGGGUGGGUAAGACAGGGGUGAAAUCCCGUAGUUCAACUCCGGAGCUGCCUUUAAUACUGGCCAUCUAGAGAUCGGAAGUGGUAAGUGGAAUUCCCAGUGUAGAGGUGAAAUUCGUAGAUAUUGGGAAGAGUACCAGGAGCGAAGGCGGCUUACUGGUCCGACACUGACGUUGAUGUGGGAACGGGUGGUGAGCAAACAGG
Molecule: ribosomal RNA, 253 nt
Filed under: uncultured bacterium
Lineage: Bacteria
Description: partial 16S ribosomal RNA
Rfam family: Bacterial small subunit ribosomal RNA
Source: RNAcentral